RNAcentral lists this ribosomal RNA (95 nucleotides) under uncultured eukaryote. Its description in RNAcentral is "partial 18S ribosomal RNA". The record is from RNAcentral.
UGGAGUGAUUUGUCUGGUUAAUUCCGUUAACGAACAAGACCUUAACCUGCUAAAUAGCUAGGCUUAGCUUCGGGGACUAUUGGUGUUUAACUGAU